Molecule: ribosomal RNA, 136 nt
Filed under: uncultured bacterium
Lineage: Bacteria
Description: partial 16S ribosomal RNA
Rfam family: Bacterial small subunit ribosomal RNA
Source: RNAcentral
GCCAAGUAGCGUGCAGGAUGACGGCCCUAUGGGUUGUAAACUGCUUUUAUACAGGAAUAAACCCACCUACGUGUGGUGUUUGUAUGUACUGUAUGAAUAAGGACCGGCUAAUUCCGUGCCAGCGAGCCGCGGUAAU